UAUUAUGAGAGUUUGAUCCUGGCUCAGGACGAACGCUGGCGGCGUGCCUAAUACAUGCAAGUCGAACGCUUUUUCUUUCACCGGAGCUUGCUCCA
This 95-nucleotide non-coding RNA is filed under the name Enterococcus phoeniculicola ATCC BAA-412. RNAcentral describes it as "Bacterial small subunit ribosomal RNA". It matches the Rfam family "Bacterial small subunit ribosomal RNA", at positions 1 to 91 of the family's 1533-position model. The record is from Rfam by way of RNAcentral. Lineage: Bacteria; Bacillati; Bacillota; Bacilli; Lactobacillales; Enterococcaceae.